GAUAGAGGUGCAGGAACUGCGUGUAACAGAGAGGAGCUUGCCGAAAGCGAAGAUACUUUGUGAAUAGCAUUGUUGCCGAGAAACAGUGAGUGGCAGACAUUGUUUCGGUUGCAUAUCAUAGUGGUGUGCGGCUGUCAUCAUAAAAGCAUGAUGGAGAGCUAUCGAAU
RNAcentral lists this non-coding RNA (167 nucleotides) under bovine gut metagenome. Its description in RNAcentral is "Lysine riboswitch". It matches the Rfam family "Lysine riboswitch aptamer". From Rfam's summary of the family: Riboswitches are metabolite binding domains within certain messenger RNAs that serve as precision sensors for their corresponding targets. Allosteric rearrangement of mRNA structure is mediated by ligand binding, and this results in modulation of gene expression. The record is from RNAcentral.